RNAcentral lists this ribosomal RNA (467 nucleotides) under uncultured bacterium. RNAcentral's name for it is "partial 16S ribosomal RNA". It matches the Rfam family "Bacterial small subunit ribosomal RNA", at positions 28 to 507 of the family's 1533-position model. The record is from RNAcentral.
GACGAACGCUGGCGGCGUGCUUAACACAUGCAAGUCGAACGGAAAGGCUCCAGCUUGCUGGAGUACUCGAGUGGCGAACGGGUGAGUAACACGUGGGUAAUCUGCCCUGCACUCUGGGAUAAGCCUGGGAAACUGGGUCUAAUACUGGAUAUGACCUUUCUCCUUAUGGGGUUUGGUGGAAAGUUUUUCGGUGUAGGAUGAGCCCGCGGCCUAUCAGCUUGUUGGUGGGGUGAUGGCCUACCAAGGCGACGCCGGGUAGCCGGCCUGAGAGGGUGAUCGGCCACAUUGGGACUGAGAUACGGCCCAGACUCCUACGGGAGGCAGCAGUGGGGAAUAUUGCACAAUGGGCGGAAGCCUGAUGCAGCGACGCCGCGUGAGGGAUGACGGCCUUCGGGUUGUAAACCUCUUUCAGCAGGGACGAAGCGUAAGUGACGGUACCUGCAGAAGAAGCACCGGCUAACUAUGUG